This 3961-nucleotide long non-coding RNA is filed under the name Homo sapiens (human). RNAcentral's name for it is "long non-coding RNA NONHSAT181281.1". Lineage: Eukaryota; Metazoa; Chordata; Mammalia; Primates; Hominidae. The record is from RNAcentral.
CUUGAACCCAAGGCUGGCACAAAAGCCAGAAGGUGUUACUCUCCACCAGCUCAGGGAUUGUGAAGAUCUCUGUGCAGACUCCACUCUGCGGUUGGACAGCAUCCCUGAGACAUGCAUUUUGGGAAUUGUGAUCAACCAGAAUCCAGAACACGCUGUGCUUAAUGGAGUGAACUGCCUGUGAAGCGCAGGUGUGAGGGGCGGAUGAUAAGUGACAGUGCCGGUGCCCCCAGCGCCCUUUUACCUGAUGGCUCACCCGGCCUACAGCUGCGCCCUUCCCUUUGAAUCGUCUUGGGUAACGGGUGCUGCUUUGGAAAUGCCUGGAAGGUCAUGUCCUUUGUCUGGGGAUGGCUUCCAGCUGUGGUUGACUGAUAGCAGGGGGCACAGAAGGCCAGACACAACUUGCCUCAGGUGGGCCGACUCUGAGGGUUUGUUCGGCCUCCACGUGGACUUCAGCUGAGCCUGCAUCUUUGCUUGGCUUUUCCCACUGGCCUAUUCUGCUUCCCUCUCCUUAAGGGUUCUCCCAGGAGAACUCCCUUAAUAAAUCACUUGCACAAGGAUCGGGACCCCUCACUCAGUGCAGAGGGAAAUUGACACAGCCAUGAUGAGGCCUGGCUCACAAGAGCCAUAGUUACUGUAGGAGUUUCUGUGGCUAAAUAUGCUUAGCUAUUGGGGCAAGGACAUGUGCUGGAUGUGUAUGCAGUCUUUGAAGCUGGAGAGGCCUGUGUUGGAAACUGUGCUCUGUCCCAUGCCAGUUCCCUGACCUUGGGAAUAGAAUGUAGACUGCAUCCAGUACUAGGAAGAGAACAGUUAUGUUGGAGCUAGUUCGGAAGUCCCAUUUAACAACUGCUCCCAGUACAGCAUGAGAAGUGACCCAGAGCACAGCGAUCGCACGCGCAGCGUGCUCUACAGAAGGUGCAUCCACAGAUGGCGGGCCAGCCGGCUCCCAAUAUAGUUUUUAACAUAAAUGAUGAAAAUAAAAACCCUGAAGAAACUUCCAUGUGGGACACGAGCCUUCAAUGCCUGAUAAAGCCUGAAAGCCACAAUCUGCCCUGGAAACCCAGCUCCACCCUGCUUCCACUACAUCAGGAGGUGGAGGAGGAAAUUGAAAGUGUGAAACACCAGUGGGAGGAAAAGGUUCCUGUAACAAAUGUGGUUAUCAAUGGGAAAGAAGCUUUCUAGAGCUUAUAUACGGGGCCGAGUCAUGCACACUUCAUCAUACUCACCAGGGGACGACCCAGACCAUCAUUCUUCUCUGGUCUGCCACCUUCAUCCUCCACUUGCAGCCUCCUUUGCAGUGACCAUACAGGUGCAGAGCAUGAGCAGGAUGCACAGGGGUUUAUGUGGUCAGGCCUGCCUGGAGUUGGCACAUAGCAUUUCUGCUUCCAUUCUUAGGUCUGAAAUCCAGGUCACAGAGCCCUAACAUAACUACAAAGGAUCCUGAAAAGUGUUGUAUUCCAGUGUGCCUCGGAAAAGAAAAUAGGAUUAAUAAACUUUGAUUAGACUAAAUACCCCUAGAGCAAUCAACAGACAGACAGAGCCCUGCUUCAUGGAGCGUCUGCUCUCUCCUGGAGCUCACACGCUGAAACAGACAGGAUGCAACACCUCAGGGUUGUUGGAGAACCAGGGGCUGUUGCAAUUAGGAUGGCGAAUGGUGAAAAACAGUGUGGUUGAAUUGAACAUAAGCUGAAGGGCUAGACAUCAUGGCUUCAAUCCUUGUGGAGGAUGACUUGUGAAUUGCCACCUCCUGCAAAUCCUGUGGCCUAUGAUCUGGACCAAAUCACAUCCAAGUGUCUGAUCAGUUCUGAGAGUGGUUGUGGAUGAUGCCUCUGAGAGAGUCAGCUUGGAGACAGGCACACUCUUAUUUCAUCCGGCCUGGGGAGGAGGGGAAAGAGGAAGUCACCUGUGAAAUUGUCUUUGCGCUUUGGACUCAAGCCCCCAGGUGCCUUUGGAUAAUUUCUGCUUGCUAAAGAGGCGGGGCCUUAGUCCUCAUCGGCCGAUGGUUUGGAGACUGAAUCAACUAUCUGAGCCUUCAUCUACCACAUAAGAAUUGCAGCAAACCCUGCAGCUAUCCUGAAGCUGCCAUGCUGAAAAGGCCAAUUGGGAGACCACAUAGAGACCGAGAGAGACUUCCAAGGACUCCAGCCAAUCCUGGGCCCCAGCAGUUUGAAUCUCCCAGCAAUGCCACCAUACAGGAGAGGGAGCAAAUACUCAGAAGAUUCAAGUGCCAGCUGCAUGGGUUGAUACCUACAUAAAAGGCAUUGGGAUUAUUCACAAGAGCCAAGAUAUGGAAAUAACCUGUGUCCAUUGACAGACGAAUAGAUGAGGGAAACGUGGCAUAUACACACAGUGGAAUAUUAUUCGGAAUUAAAAAAAGAAGGAAAUCCUGAAUCCUGCUAUUUCUGACAACAUGAGACUGCAGGACGUUAUGGUAUGUGCUCUUGGGUGAUUCCCCUAAUCAUAGUGGAAAGAUGGGAGCUGAGACUCUAAGACUGUAAGUAACUUGGCCAAGACUUAUGGCUUGAUACGGAUCUUCUAACUCAAAAUCGUGUGUUCUUCUCACUACCCAAUUAUUGCUUCACACUUCAUCAUUUUGCAGAUGACUGUGUGUUGAUGAGAGGCUGCCAUAAUUUGAAGUCAUUAGAACAAUGAAAUAGUAUCUGCACAUAUGCACAGUCCUCGGAUGCGAUGGGCAUUCCCUCAAGCUGCAGUCCAGCAGGAAAUUUUCAGUGCUAGAAGAGUUAAACUAUAAGCUGACUUGAGAUGUAGUAGUUCAAAACCCUUGCCAAUAACUCUUUAUUAUGUGCAGCAUUUUCAAAGCAAAAUUACAACAUGUUAGAAAGUGAAUGAGGCAAAUUACUGGUGAUGUCAUCAAAGUAAUAACUGCUAAUGACCCUUUUACUCCUGGGCAUUGCCUGAGGCCACACUGACAGGAAGAGCAGAUCUGCUUUCUGUGAAUCCAUUUGGAUUAUCUAGAAGGCAUCCUGAAAGUUAUGAAAACAUAAUGUGAGAAAAUGAUAGAUCAAAGUGUGAAUACAAUGCAGGGACAACAGAAAGGAAAAUGUACUCUCUGUUGUGUAAUGGGUAUUUUGGCCAGAGUUUGAAGAGCUUUAUUAAGGAGUGACAACAAACAUAUAUUUAAAUGAUGACAUUUCCUCCAAAAUAAAAUAAACAAAUAAAUAUGUAGAAUUUAAAACUUUUUUGUUUCCAUGAAAGAGUUUGGAAUACCCUUCCAAACUCUCCUCAUUCAUUGAGACGAUGGAUCUCUUGUUAUUAACCGAGACACUGAAUUUUGAGGUGACAUCCUGUUCUGGAGGCAGAAACAUUGCCAGCACUUCUCCUUCAGCAGUUGAUUUAUUAUGUGACAGUCGGUGAUGAGCUUAUCCUCAUGAAGAUGCUCCCUCCCACGGACAGCCGUAUCAUACUUGAGGCCUCCCUGCCACUUACCCAGGCCACUGCAAUAGCCCCUUUGUUGUCAUCUGGUUAAGAACUAAGGUUCUUCCUUAACCAGUCCAUUCCCCUGACUUCCACAGAGAAACCAUUCUAUAAACUGCUCAUCUGUCAGCUGUUCACCAGCUCAAAAACCAUUCAGAAUCCCACACCUUCUCCCACUGUCCACAGAAUAUUGUCAGUACUCCUUCUAAGAGAAUUCAAAGCAACAUGACAUCAUCCUAUAUUUCUAGCCUUACCUAAUAAAUAUUCAUACCGACUACCUACUGCUUUCUAUACAGGGAAACAUUUCAAGGCCUCCGAGGUCUGCUUGGAAUUCUCCCAUCCACCAUCAUUUCUGCUGCCUAUUAAUAUUCCACCUAUAAUUUAUUCACCAAAUAUUCCUUGAAUGAGUGCCAGGUGUCAGAUACCUCAGUUCCAAGGUCCUUUCUUUUGUGAAGCUUUUCUUGGAAGCUCCCCUGUCUGAGCUCACACUCUAAUUGGGACAUUAUUUAAUUAUAGUCUGUAUUGAACA